RNAcentral lists this long non-coding RNA (1301 nucleotides) under Helianthus annuus (common sunflower). RNAcentral's name for it is "hypothetical non coding rna". Lineage: Eukaryota; Viridiplantae; Streptophyta; Magnoliopsida; Asterales; Asteraceae. The record is from RNAcentral.
GAUCGUGGUUUGUUCUGAUUGACCUAUUUGGGCGGUCAUCCCCCUUUGAGACACGUAUCUUCAGUUUUCAACUCUUUUUAAAACCUCAUAAGAGAAGACAGAGAAAGGGAGAGAGAAGGGCGGCGACCGCAGGGUCACCACCGUCACACCACCAUGACGGUCACCGUCCGGAGUCUCUGUUUUGUGGAUUUCUUGACAGUGUGGAAUGGCAUGGUUGUUGAUCUGUAAAACUUGGAACCUGCCGGAAAGUUAGUACGGUGGGAUGGUUCAUAUCCAGGCUAUUGGACAGAAGACAUGUCUCUUCUUUGUCUCUUUGCCGACGACCAACCACCCACUACCAGAGAUCCGCCACCACUCAACCGCCUGCUAAUUUUAGAGUUGUGGAUCCUAUGAGAAAAUCCAAAGGCACCUAUAAUCAUAAAUCAUGUAUCAGAUUCAAACGAAGUCACCGCAGUUCGAAGCGUCAAUGGAUGCGGCAGUGGUUGCUAUAAUCAAGUAUGUAAUUGACAUGGUCAUGGACACUAUACACCACCGUUUCCACUGCAGUCACCCCUCCUUUUCUUUUUCUUUGCAUUAAUUUAUGUUUCACUGUCCGAUGCUUCUCAAAAUAUCCACCUUUGGCGCCGACUGUUUUGCUUCGGAAGAUUGUUAGAUGUUGAGAUGCCUUGGGAUUGUAGGUUCUCACUUCUAUCUACUAUGUUUAUGUUUACAUCUUCACAUCACAGCAUUGAUCUUCUUACUACAUGUAUGAUGAAUAAAUACUUGAUAUUGGUUAAUAUUGUAAUGGAUCUCGAGUUGGGAGGUGUAUAAUUAUAGCUCUCAAGGAUAUCAUAUCAUCAUUGGUGCCCAUGCUUCAUGCAUGUAAGGUAGACUGCUUGUAAUAUAAUGGUGUUGGGUGUUUAGUCAACCAAGUGGUGAUGAUUGUUUUUAAGAUUUGUUGUUAUAUUGGGUUCAUGUGUUGUAAUACUGGGAUGUUGUAAAUAAAUUGAUAGUAUAAUAAUGACUUUCAGUGUAUUCUUAAUUUAAAGACAUAAAAUCACUGGAUUAUUUGGGAUGCUGAAAGUUGAUAUGUUCUAUCGCAACUUAGCCUAUAAUCAUCAUCCAACUACAAAAGCAGGAAUGCAAUCUUGAACCAUCUGACAAAGUUUAUUGAAUAAUCCGGUUUAACGCGUCGCAACGCGUGCGGGGUAUAAUACUAGUUAUAACUUAAAAAGAGAAAUUAACAUGAGUUUUUAUAAUUUAAAUAUAAUUGAGUUAUAUACAUUAGUGUUUUAAGUAAAUUUUAAUUUUAAUGUAUUAGU